AACGAACGCUGGCGGCAGGCCUAACACAUGCAAGUCGAGCGCGCCCUUCGGGGUGAGCGGCGGACGGGUGAGUAACGCGUGGGAACGUGCCCUUCUCUGCGGAAUAGCCUCGGGAAACUGAGAGUAAUACCACAUACGCCCUUUGGGGGAAAGAUUUAUCGGAGAAGGAUCGGCCCGCGUUGGAUUAGGUAGUUGGUGGGGUAAUGGCCCACCAAGCCGACGAUCCAUAGCUGGUUUGAGAGGAUGAUCAGCCACACUGGGACUGAGACACGGCCCAGACUCCUACGGGAGGCAGCAGUGGGGAAUCUUAGACAAUGGGGGCAACCCUGAUCUAGCCAUGCCGCGUGAGUGAUGAAGGCCUUAGGGUUGUAAAGCUCUUUCAGCUGGGAAGAUAAUGACGGUACCAGCAGAAGAAGCCCCGGCUAACUCCGUG
RNAcentral lists this ribosomal RNA (433 nucleotides) under uncultured bacterium. RNAcentral's name for it is "partial 16S ribosomal RNA". It matches the Rfam family "Bacterial small subunit ribosomal RNA", at positions 29 to 507 of the family's 1533-position model. The record is from RNAcentral.